This 4457-nucleotide long non-coding RNA is filed under the name Gallus gallus (chicken). RNAcentral describes it as "long non-coding RNA NONGGAT005407". The record is from RNAcentral. Lineage: Eukaryota; Metazoa; Chordata; Aves; Galliformes; Phasianidae.
UUUUAUUUGAAUAAUCUCUUUUCUUUCAGGUUAAAUAACAUUUGUGUUUUAAGUAGAUAAGAUAACAGUUCCAGCAGCAAUAAAUUUCCUGUAGUCGCGCUAUCUUUUUUCCCUAAGCAUUUCUAACUGAGCAGUUGGCCUUGUUAGGAGCUUUUGUUCAGCAUCAUCAAUUAGUGGCUUUCCUUAACAGCGGUGUCUGUUAGCUUUGUUCAUUGCAAACACUUUCCCUUUCAAACAUUUCUGAUGGAUUGGAAUGUUUUAUGGCUGAGAACUUCGGUCCAUUUUUUUGUUCUUGAGAUGAUAUCAGCCCUGAUUUAUUUAUUUUUUUUCCCCCCCCUGGCUUUUCUGCUGAAUGUUUUGUGAGAAGGAUAUCAUUGGCACUUCUAAAGCAUGCAGCUUUUACUUCCUGAGGAAUGAAUGAAGGGAAGGAAUAGUUGGAGCACACUCCUGUUUAUUACACUGAACCAUCACUUUUUUCCCCCAGAGCUCACACCACGCUGCUGAUGAUGACGGUGCAUUUGAAAUCAGUCGAAGCAGCUCUUGCAUUCAGAGAUGGUUUGCGUUCUUUCGGUCUCAUUCACAUCCAACUGAACUGGUUUUGCACCCUUAAAUGUGCAAUACCACUUAAUGACUGUUAGACUCAUUUCUUAUUUUGAUCAUUUAUUUAGCAAGGGUACCAAAAGGAAAGACAAAGCAUUUUGGGUGCAGGUUCUUGCUCUGGCUCUUGCAUCUCCGUCUCCCCACAGCACCAGUGGCUUUUAAGUGUAAAAGACCAAAUUGCAGAUGUUGUUUUUUAAUGUUUCUGUGACUUUUUACAUUUCAUUUUCCCAAGGUCAUUAGAUUCAAACACGAAUAUUAACAUAAAUAGAGCACUUUGAAGAAGAGGGCUAUUAUGUCAGCACUAGAUGUUAUUAGACUGGCUCCAAUCUAAGAGGAGCUUGUUGGAUUUUGAUUUCUUUCUUUCUUUCCAGAAAUAUGCCUCAGUUUGGUCUUUGCUGGAUGGAUGCACUGAGCAUUGGUGAGGACAGAGUGCAUCUCCUGUAAGAGAGGCCAAGCUCUUUCAGAGGCUCUGUCAAGAGGAGCCAAAGACAAUUUAGGAAGGGGAAAAGCCCUGCCCAGCAGAUAGCUCUCUCCCUCUUAGCGUUGAUUGCCCAGGUUUAGCUUUAGCUGAACCCACAGGUAGAUGCCCCAAAGCAAUGCUCUUUAUUCUAUUAUGUCUCUGUUCACUAUUGCCUCUCUUUCAUUGCUGGAACAUAGCUGGUUUGUGUUAGAAAAUAAAGUGUUAGAAAAUAAACCUGAUGAUAAGGUAAUUUUUUCAAUGCGGUUUUUAAUAUAUAGUUAAUAGUGUCUGUCAAGCUACUACCUGGUGAAAUGGUUUGGCUCGUGAGAGUGCCAUUUCGGAGGAUAUAAAUCACCUUAGUCUGUUUUACUUUACAUAUACUUUCAGGUAGUGAUUUAAGUUAGUUAACGAGGGUGUGAGAGUGCAGUAUCGCAGCAUUGCUCCUUAAGGAUGCCUGGUGGUGCCAUGAGAACACGGGCUGGGGAUUUGGGCUCCUUGGGCUCUCUGCAGUCCCAUCACAGAAGCUAGAUGCUGGAGCACUCUGAAAUGUUCACAGUGGCACUUGCUCUUCUGUGUGAACCCCUUCCUCUGCCAUCCUCCUCAGGUUGUCUGAUCUUUGAGCUGAGCUCAGGCUGUGGCUCUUACAGUCACCUCCUUUGGAGAUUGCACCCACAUGACUGUUGUUUCGUUUUCUCUGCAGUAAUCUGCUGCUGGCUCCUCCGUGACCUUUCUCCCUAAGAAAAACCUGUAUACUUCAAAGGUCUCUCAGGACAGUGAAACUACUUUGGUUCUGUCAAACAUAGGUGCGAAUAGGUUUCUCUCAUGCAAAAUUACUGACUGUUAUCUCUUUCUCUUUGCAGACAGGUCUUUUCAAGUAAGAUUCUUUCAACUAUAAUCUCUUUUGCAUGUUUAGUCAGUUUAGUGCAAACCUGACGAGGAAGAGACUCGUUCUCUGAUCUGAUGGUAGAACACAGUACUCAUUAAAAUUAAUAAUAAUAAUAAAAAUCAAAGUCUGUGGAUGCUUGAAGGCAUAGCUGACACCAAAACAAACAAUGAAGUUUUAGACAUAAACCCAGACUGGCAGCCUUGGCAGAUCAGCUGUUGACAUAACAGCAUCUUAACAACAAAAAGCAAAGAAAACAACAGCAACAAAAAUCCUUUUCCUCACUUUGCAACAUUUCUGAAAGCUCUUAUUUUUGUCUCCAGGCUUUUCUUUGGCAUACCCUGGACCCAGAGCAAGGAGGGAGUAGGAAACACCAUCCCAGAGCUGUGUCUGCACUAGGGGGCUGUGCUUGCAUGGCGAUAAGAGGAUUAGAAGUUUAGAGAAAGCUUUGUCCUCGUGUGGUAAGCCCUGAUAACAAACUUUGACUCAGUUAGCUGCUGCUUACAGCACAUUCCUCAUUGGAACAUAUCUGCAAUUGACCUUGACAUGGAAAACAUAAACCCGGUGGAAACAAACUGGUGAUGAUCUCCGUCUAACUGGAGAGCAGACUUCUGAUGUGAGCGCUGCAGCACCAUCCUUUCGGUAGCCCUGAGUCUCUGUAGGUGGAUGAACUGUUUCAGGACAUUCCUUCAUUCUGAGAAGUGGCUGUGGCCAACCAGCUGGAGGCUGCUGAGCUGCCCUGCGGUGCAAGAGGUGUGCUGGCAGGCAGCCCUGUGUUAAUUUUGAUGGCAAAGCUGUCUGAUCUUUUCCAGCUCUGACUUUUGGGUUUCUGCAAAGUAAAAAACUGCCCUAUGCAAAGGUGAUUCCACGCCAGGAGAAGGGUUCUGUGCUCCUUAGAGGGAAUGAAGGGAGGUAACUGAUCAUUCUCUGUAGCUGAUCCCAUUCUGACAGUUCUCAUUACAUCAAAUUUGAGUGCUCACUCUACCAUAUGGGAAAAGAGGCGGGGGAGUCUGUCUAGGACCACUGCUGGGGUGGGUCUCCAGUGGUGCUUGUGUCUUGACCUCAGGCAAUGCUUCCAUUCUUCCUUUGUUAAAAGAGUGAUUUGUCAGAUGCCAGGGACUCCUCAAUAAGUCUCCUGGGCUGGAGGAGAAUGGUCAGCAGUAUCUCAUAGGUUUCAUCACAGAACAAUUUUUAACGUUCAGAUUGGUUGUCCCUAGGACUUAAGUUGAGUUUGUCACAUCAGUAUCAUAGCAGAAGCAAAAGAGCUGCUAUCUUGGCAGGUGCUGGAACACCUUCCGGGCUCCUGGAGCUGGGGACAGCACUCAGCUCUUCAUAGAGAAGUGUGAUGCAGAAAAUUAGUUGUUAAAGCAAAUACAGGGAGAAAGGAGCAAGACAAGUGAAAGCCGAGAAAGCUGGAGUGAUUGUACAUUAGGCACAAUUAUACAAAGUCCGUUUUCUGGCAGCAUCACUCCUGACUGGCACGAGAGCUCCAGGACCAUCAGCUCAUCAGGAAAUCUCCUGUCUGCCCGGAGCACGCAGUGAAUUCCCACCUUUGCACUCAAGGCACAGCAUUAAGUGCUUCCAAAGUAUGUUACUCGUUUGCAUUUCUGUAAUAUUUCUCCACUGUAGCAUCAGAGUGCUCUGUAAAUAGUCACUGCUAACCUCCCUGGGUGGGGUGCUGGGGAUGGGUUUGUUUUUUUGGCUUACGGAGAGCAAAAGGUUUGCGUUGUGAGUCAGCACUGAAGCUCAGUAAUUCAACACGAGAUGGGUUUAAGGCUACCUUUGACCAAUCCGGGGCUGUUGUGGCUUCCAGGGUAAUGCAGAGCAUCCGUGGAAUCCCUCUGUGCAGCAGGGUGAAGAUCUGAGGAAGAGACCUACAGCCAAAUGGCCUGAGCUGUCACAGCACGGUACCUAUGAUUCCCAUGACGGCUCCAUCCUGCAACGUUCUGAACCUCCUCACUGUGCUUCAGCAAUGCGAUCAGGUCCAGAUACGAGCUCAGGACUGGACCUACUGCAACAAGCAGUGUGAACAAUGCUGGGCUCUUACUGCCAUGCUCAGGUACAAGGCCUGAUGUUUCAGAACCCCCUGGUUACCUGGUGGAUGCAUUUAGGAGCACAUAGGAAUACUCGGGAAAUGCCCAAUCUUCCAUGCCUCACUUUGCUCUGUUGGGAGCUGUGAUUGUGUAGACUGAGAUCUGUAAAGCUGUAGUAAAAGGAAGAAGGACCCAAACAGGGAGGGGUGGGAGCUCCACAAAGUAACGUGGGCCUUCUUUCCCUUAAGUGGUGUUUAUGAGCUGACUGUGGAAGGUCUCGUGUCCCUGUAGGCAAGCAUCACUCUUCUGUAACUUGGUGCACCCCAUAGGUGUGUGAGCAGGAGAAGCAUUGCAGGCACAUUGCUGCCCUGGCAGCCUCCCCUGCUCUGCUGGGACCACUGGAGCCCGCUUUGUGCUCACAGCUGUGUGGGUGCUGCCACUGCUGUACUGCUACCUUACUGUCUCAUGUGUCAGCAUGUAA